AUACGUAGGGUGCGAGCGUUAAUCGGAAUUACUGGGCGUAAAGCGUGCGCAGGCGGUUUUGUAAGUCAGAUGUGAAAUCCCCGGGCUUAACCUGGGAACUGCGUUUGAAACUGCAAGGCUAGAGUGUGGCAGAGGGGGGUGGAAUUCCGCGUGUAGCAGUGAAAUGCGUAGAUAUGUGGAGGAACACCGAUGGCGAAGGCAGCCCCCUGGGUCAGCACUGACGCUCAGGCACGAAAGCAUGGGGAGCAAACAGGAUUAGAAACCCCAGUAGUCC
This 274-nucleotide ribosomal RNA is filed under the name uncultured bacterium. Its description in RNAcentral is "partial 16S ribosomal RNA". It matches the Rfam family "Bacterial small subunit ribosomal RNA", at positions 523 to 796 of the family's 1533-position model. The record is from RNAcentral.